Salvia splendens (bonfire salvia) is the source of this 4814-nucleotide RNA transcript. It is a transcript of the gene named 65-kDa microtubule-associated protein 2-like, with no coding region annotated. The record is from RefSeq and is a predicted model, not a curated record. NCBI's taxonomy places the organism in Eukaryota, Viridiplantae, Streptophyta, Magnoliopsida, Lamiales, Lamiaceae. The transcript has 30 exons.
UUGCAGAUAUGAAGGUGGCAGUGAAAAAUAAAGUUCCUCUUGUAAGAUCGUUGACAUUCAGAUGUGUUACAUUCUGUAUUAAAACAGUGACAAAGCAACCAUACUUAAGGUUCACAAGGAACAUGUUCCCAUAUGUAUGGAGUCCCUAAUGAUGGAACUCCUGAUGUGAGGAAUGCAGCUUUCUCAGCUUUAGCGGCUAUUUCCAAGGUGUGGUUCAAUCUUCUCGAGGAGUUAUGACCACGUGGUUUCCUUUGAACUAGUAGAAUGAAUAUGAAGAAACCACUUGAGGAUCUUUGCUGCAGCAACUUCAUGUAAUUCCUCUUUGAAGUCCAAUUUGGGAUCUUUGCUGAGUGUUUCAGUUGCCCUUGAGUUGUUGAAUUCUGUCACAGAAAUGAAUCUUUGUUGCAUUAUUCAGAGACUGGCAGAUGCUAGAGUUGAACUCACGAAUGUCUUAUCAGCUUUUGGAGAAAAGUCUUAUGCCGGAAUUGUAAGUGAUGGACCUCAUGGUAUUCAAUAAUGACAUUUUCAUAAAGCUCUAGAUGUUGUAGCAAUGCGCCCGACAAGACGUCAGGAACGAAUAAGGAACAGCUUCAUGCUGUAGCUCCUGCACUGGAUAAACUAUGGAAACAAAAGGAUGAGAAGACAAAAGAGUAUUCUGAUGUUCAAUCUCAAAUACAGAAGAUAUCUGCAGAAAAUUUGGGAUGAAGUUGGUGAAAAUGACGAAGAACGAGACAAAAUUCUUCUCAAUUGGAUCAAUAGUACUUGGAUGUGUACAAGAGGAAAGUUGACCUGACUGUGAAAUCUAGAGCCCACCUUUUUCAGACAUUGGCAGAUGCUAGAGUUGAACUCACCAAUCUAUUAUCAGCUUUUGGAGAAAAGACUUAUGUCGGAAUUCCUUGGAUUAAACAAGGAACAGCUUGAAGCUAUAGCUCCUGCACUGGAUAAACUAUGGAAACAAAAGGAUGAGAAGAUAAAGAGUUUUCUGGUGUUCAAUGUCAAAUAUAGAAGAUAAACUACGGAGAUUUCAAAAAGCAUAUGCAAUGACACCCUAGCUGGGCUGGCGAGACUGUUUUAGCACUAAAGGAAGACAAGAAGCAAAGAUUGCAAAAGGACAAGGUGCUCGAACCAGAAGAGCUUCUCCUAAGGCUGUGGGUUCUGUACCGACUGAGGAGAGUGUAUCUGAUGGAGAUAGAUGAGUAUGAUGACCUUGUUUGUGCAGUUGAUACAUUCAAUCCUUUGGAGAAGUCUGAAUUUUGGGAAGGGUGAAUGCUUCAAAACGGUGUGAUAUGAAAUGGCUGUUGCUGAACUAACCGAACUUGCAUCCACCAAAAAGAUUGCUCCAGCUGAUUUUUCAGAACCCUGUCAGCACCUGAGGAGAUAGAUGAGUAUGAUGACCUUGUGUGUCCAGUUGAUACAUUCAAUCCUUUGGAGAAGUCUGGAUUUUGGGAAGGGGUGAAAGCUUCAAAACGGUGUGAGAGGAAAUGGUUGUUUCUGAACUAACCGAACUUGCAUCCACCAAAAAGAUUGCUCCAGCUGAUUUUUCUGAAUUUUGUUUAACAUUAAAGAAGGUUAUCACAGGUGUACAUUACUGUAGGAAGAAAAAAAAGGAAAGAAAAAAGAAAAAAAGGAAAAAAGAUGGAAAAAGGAAAAAUAAAGAUAAAAAGGAAAAGAUAGAAAAAAAAGGAAAAAGAAAAAAGAAAAAAAAUAUUGUUGUUGCAGUUGACGGUAUUCAAGCACCCGGACAACCUUGCAGGGGUCUGAGAACUCAUUUCUCGGCCAGUUAUCGCUUCUUAUUGCCUCUACUACUGGUUUGAGCAGGACAAGGGAGCCCGAACUAGGAGCUGUUUCUAAGGCUAUGGGAUCUGUACCAACUGAAGAGAGUGUUGUUGAUGGAUAUAGAUGAGUAUGGAUGACCUUGUCGGUCCAGUUGAUAUAUUGAAGCCUUUGGAGAAGUCUGGAUUUUGGGAAGGGGUGAAAGUUUCAAAAUGGUGAGAGAGGAAAGAGGCAGUUGCUGAACUAACCGAACUUGCAUCAACCAAAAAGAUUGCUCGUGAAGUUUUCUUGACCACAAAUGUCUUGAAAUGCCUUGGCGACAACAAAAAGCAUAUGCUUGAGUGUGCAUUGUGUACCUUGGAUACUUGGCUUGGUGUUGCUCAUUCUGAUAAAAUGCUGUUCUCACAGACGCUAAAGUAGGCGCAAAAGGGCGCAAGGAUUUUUUUUAUUGGCUAUCAAGACAACUUGCUGGAUUGGUUGAGUGACGGCGCCAGACCUAUCUUAUAUAUCUCUCCCCUUAUAGUGUCCAAAAAUUUGAGAGAUAUACAAGGUUCUGUGCUUUAGCUAUUAUUGGCAUACAACUGAAGCCAUAUGGAGCUUUGCAAGAUAAUUAUGAAUCUGGUGGAUAUGUUUCGUCAAGCACCACGUCAGAAAGCAGCCUAAUGACAGCAAAACCAAAUGGUCAUGGCAACCACGAAUCCUGGCAUGGAAGCAGAAAUGCAUCUUCAAUAGCUGAACCUAACAAGGGAUCCAGGCAGUUUUUUCAAGACAUUAACUUUCAGUUACAACAAGGAUGACAGAGAAAGGAUUAUUGUUCGCAGAUUCAAAUUAGAAGAAUUGCGUAUAGAGGAAAUUCAAGAUCUUGAGAUGUUCGUAAGUGGCUUUGCUUACUUCUCAAACAGAAUGAUGUCAUGAAACACUUUCGAGAGGAUCUGCAUUGGGCUGACUUCAAAAAGCUAAGUUGAUGGAGUUGAGUCUCUAGUGCUUUCUUGUCUUUGUAUGCUAUAUCUUUCCAUGUGUUCCUCUUGGCAGAUAAGUAGCCGGUUAAAAUCCUUGCACUGCUGAACGAGAUGGAGACACCCUCAAAGUUGCAUCCAAAUACUUUGGCGAUAGGCUAUAAGAUUCUUGGUGAGCUUAUAACUAACUAUUGUUGGGUUGUUCAUUUAGACUUUUCAUACGAGUGAUGGAGAAGAGGAAGGCAAGCCAGGAGAUCCUAGAGCUGCCCUAAGAUGCUCCGAGCGAGAAUGUGUACGAUUUUGACUGGUGCCUUUUCAAGAUCUUGUAAAUAUGUCCUGACUGACCUUUUAACUAAUAACGCCCCUAAUAUUGAAGAUUCAUGUCAUGAUUUUGAUUAGUUGGGUGUUAAUUGAGGUCUGAAGUUGUUAUUGCUUUAGUUGCAGACUUUUUUUGAAGGCUUGCUUAUACAGUUAAGUAGAGUACUCUUGAUAGUUUCAUCACGGAACUGUUGCUAUGGCCUUUGGAAGUCAACUUUUGAUAGGGUUCCACAGAUGGAUGAUGGAAAUCAACUUUUGAGAGCUUUGAAUGUUCUGAUGUUAAAGAUUCUAGUAACUAUCACUGUAAAACUUAUUUGGCAAGCAUGGCUAGUUUUUCUCUCUUCUUAUGAAUAUAAUUGUUGUUGGUGGCCGUAUUGCACAUGCAGGAUAAUGCAUAACGCAGAGCGUACUUCAUCAUUUGAUGUGCUUAUAAUCUCUUAAGAUUUGAUUAUUACUACUUUGUCAACAAUUGGUGCUCUUGGGACUGCAAUGGGACAGCCACUUGAGAAGUCAAGCAAGGAUUAUGGAAUUGGAAUACAUCAUUCGCCGUAAGUAUAUGAUCACAAACAUGCUCAUGCUUAGUGGAAAGAAGCCUAUUGUUGCAUUGUCGGCUGCCACUAAGAAAGCCACGUCUGGAAAAUCUUGUAUUAACAAGAAGGGUGAUGGAGGACAAAAAACAAAAGUUUCUAAGCCUAUGGAGCAUGAAGAUGUCGAGCAAACUGAAAUGAGUUUGGAAGAGAUUUAGAGCAGAUUAGGAUCCCUUAUUCAAGUAGAGACAAUUACUCAACUAAAAAGUGUUGGGUGGAAAGAGCUGCUUGAAGGUAUCAAAAAAUUUGAGAGAUAUACAAGGUUCUGCUUUGGCUAUUAUUUGAUAAUGACUGAAGCCAUAUGGAGUUUUCAAGGUAGAUUUGUUUUGUCAAGCAUCGCGUUUAAAAGCAGCCUAAAGACAGAAUAAAUGGUCAUGGCGACCGCGAAUCUGGGCAUGGAAGUAGAAAUGCACCUUCAGUAUGCGUUCUGUGGUUAAUAUCUUUCUUCUCAACCAUAUAUCUUUCUUUUGAACCAUAAUUUUUUUGUUAAUUGAUGUCCUGUUUAGCCUAACAAGGGAUACAGGCAAGAAUCCAUCUUGUGUGUUCAAGACAUCAACAUUAGCAUGAAGGAUUCAACCAAGAAUAAUGUCAUGAAAUCUUUUGGGAGGAUCUGAUCGGAGGCUCUUAAGUGCUGACUUCAAAAGCAAGUUGAUGGCAUUGAGAUGCUGCAGAAGGCUCUUCCAUCCAUGGGAAGGGAGGUGAUUGAAGUCUUAGAUAUAUACUCUUGAAGUGGUUUGUGUUGUGGUUUUUGAAUCCAACACAUCAUGCUUAUUAAAGGUACUUGAAUAUCUUCGCGUGCUUCAGGAUAUGUUGAGAAGUGUGGGCUACAUUGCGGUACCCCAUCUUUCUUCCUUGCUUGGUUGAUAAGGUGAUAAUAUUUGGAGAUAUUUGGAAGCUUACUUAGAAGUUUAGUAAGUUGAGGUUCACAUCAAUUUUUCAUCUGGUUCUUCCACUAUAACAGUUCUUAUGCCUUUUUGAUUCGUGCACAAGAGAUGGAGAAGAAGGAAUGCAAGCCUUGAGAAGCUAGAGCUGCCCUAAGACUACUCUCCGUCCGAGAAAAUAUGUGCAGUUUGUGAGAAAUUGAAGGAGAAGGAAGAAACUUCUUCAACGGAGGCCCUUACCGAAACACUUCAGGCAAUGCACAAGUCCGGAUGGUUGAGUCUAACUGACACUGUUGAAG